RNAcentral lists this ribosomal RNA (578 nucleotides) under Staphylococcus pseudintermedius. RNAcentral's name for it is "bacterial SSU rRNA". It matches the Rfam family "Bacterial small subunit ribosomal RNA", at positions 964 to 1533 of the family's 1533-position model. Lineage: Bacteria; Bacillati; Bacillota; Bacilli; Caryophanales; Staphylococcaceae. The record is from RNAcentral.
AAGAACCUUACCAAAUCUUGACAUCCUUUGACCGCUCUAGAGAUAGAGUUUUCCUCUUCGGAGGACAAAGUGACAGGUGGUGCAUGGUUGUCGUCAGCUCGUGUCGUGAGAUGUUGGGUUAAGUCCCGCAACGAGCGCAACCCUUGAGCUUAGUUGCCAUCAUUCAGUUGGGCACUCUAAGUUGACUGCCGGUGACAAACCGGAGGAAGGUGGGGAUGACGUCAAAUCAUCAUGCCCCUUAUGAUUUGGGCUACACACGUGCUACAAUGGACAAUACAAAGGGCAGCGAAACCGCGAGGUCAAGCAAAUCCCAUAAAGUUGUUCUCAGUUCGGAUUGUAGUCUGCAACUCGACUACAUGAAGCUGGAAUCGCUAGUAAUCGUAGAUCAGCAUGCUACGGUGAAUACGUUCCCGGGUCUUGUACACACCGCCCGUCACACCACGAGAGUUUGUAACACCCGAAGCCGGUGGAGUAACCAUUUUGGAGCUAGCCGUCGAAGGUGGGACAAAUGAUUGGGGUGAAGUCGUAACAAGGUAGCCGUAUCGGAAGGUGCGGCUGGAUCACCUCCUUUCUAAGGA